ACUCCUACGGGAGGCAGCAGUGGGGAAUCUUAGACAAUGGGGGCAACCCUGAUCUAGCCAUGCCGCGUGAGUGAUGAAGGCCUUAGGGUCGUAAAACUCUUUCGCCGGGGAAGAUAAUGACGGUACCCGGUAAAGAAGCCCCGGCUAACUCCGUGCCAGCAGCCGCGGUAAUACGGAGGGGGCUAGCGUUGUUCGGAAUUACUGGGCGUAAAGCGCGCGUAGGCGGACUAUUAAGUCAGGGGUGAAAUCCCGGGGCUCAACCCCGGAACUGCCCUUGAUACUGGUAGUCUUGAGUUCGAGAGAGGUGAGUGGAAUUCCGAGUGUAGAGGUGAAAUUCGUAGAUAUUCGGAGGAACACCAGUGGCGAAGGCGGCUCACUGGCUCGAUACUGACGCUGAGGUGCGAAAGUGUGGGGAGC
Molecule: ribosomal RNA, 417 nt
Filed under: uncultured bacterium
Lineage: Bacteria
Description: bacterial SSU rRNA
Rfam family: Bacterial small subunit ribosomal RNA
Source: RNAcentral